GGGCUUGUAGCGCAGUUGGGAGCGCACCACAUUCGCAUUGUGGGGGUCGUCGGUUCGAAUCCGAUCAGGUCCACGA
This 76-nucleotide transfer RNA is filed under the name Clostridium sp. CAG:81. Its description in RNAcentral is "transfer RNA-Ala(CGC)". It matches the Rfam family "tRNA". Rfam says of the family: Transfer RNA (tRNA) molecules are approximately 80 nucleotides in length. RNAcentral also lists the same sequence under 3 other names. Lineage: Bacteria; Bacillati; Bacillota; Clostridia; Eubacteriales; Clostridiaceae. The record is from RNAcentral.